This 594-nucleotide unclassified non-coding RNA is filed under the name Hevea brasiliensis (rubber tree). Lineage: Eukaryota; Viridiplantae; Streptophyta; Magnoliopsida; Malpighiales; Euphorbiaceae. The record is from RNAcentral.
AAAAAAAAAAAAAAAAACUUUUGAUGGUAUGAAACUCCACUCUAAAGCCAGCAAAGCAUGAAUAAGAAUUGUUUGAACAAAAAAGAAUCGGGCAAUGGAAAGAGAUCCGGAGGGAAUGGUUUCUAGCCUCAACGAUGAGUUUUCUGGCAGCCUUCAAUUCUUUUGGCCUUUGAGGCUACUAUUGCUGCCACUGCUAAUCCCUUGCAAGAGUACUUGUACUUGCCCUGCUGUUCCAUUACGUCGAGAGCCCAAUCGCAAUGCAACUUGAUAAAGAAAGGACGUGGAAACCGAGAUGAACCUUGCCUACGAUUAGCAGAAAGGAGAUCCUCAGAUCUUUCGUAAUCAAAACCUUGCUUGACAUCUUGAAGAUCAGAGAUUCUCGAUGUUAAAUGUAUGGCGCUGGAGACGAUCAUUUUGCUAUCCCAGUCCUUGCUAAAAAUUAUUUCCUAGCUUCUAGACCUCCAUAGAACAUAGAUAUUGGCGUUAGUUGAUGGUGCUUUUCUACUUCAAAAUUUCCAGCCAUCAUUCCACUGCUGUUUCUGCAGAUAAGGAAUCAUCAUUAGCUGCAAGAUUAGCCAACUAGUGCAAGCUCAU